UACGGAGGAUGCAAGCGUUAUCCGGAUUUAUUGGGUUUAAAGGGUGCGCAGGUUGUUUGAUAAGUCAGUUGUGAAAGUCUGUCGCUUAACGGUAGGAUUGCCAUUGAUACUGUUAGACUUGAAUAUGGAUGAGGUAGGCGGAAUGUGUAGUGUAGCGGUGAAAUGCAUAGAUAUUACACAGAACACCGAUUGCGAAGGCAGCUUACUAAUCCAUCAUUGACGCUGAGGCACGAAAGCGUGGGGAGUCAAACA
RNAcentral lists this ribosomal RNA (252 nucleotides) under uncultured prokaryote. RNAcentral describes it as "partial 16S ribosomal RNA". It matches the Rfam family "Bacterial small subunit ribosomal RNA", at positions 524 to 775 of the family's 1533-position model. The record is from RNAcentral.